RNAcentral lists this ribosomal RNA (497 nucleotides) under uncultured bacterium. RNAcentral describes it as "partial 16S ribosomal RNA". It matches the Rfam family "Bacterial small subunit ribosomal RNA", at positions 28 to 507 of the family's 1533-position model. The record is from RNAcentral.
GAUGAACGCUGGCGGCGUGCCUAAUACAUGCAAGUCGAGCGAACAGACGAGGAGCUUGCUCCUCUGACGUUAGCGGCGGACGGGUGAGUAACACGUGGAUAACCUACCUAUCAGACUGGGAUAACUUCGGGAAACCGGAGCUAAUACCGGAUAAUAUAUUGAACCGCAUGGUUCAAUAGUGAAAGACGGUUUUGCUGUCACUAAUAGAUGGAUCCGCGCCGCAUUAGCUAGUUGGUACGGUAACGGCUUACCAAGGCAACGAUGCGUAGCCGACCUGAGAGGGUGGUCGGCCACACGGGAACGGAGACACGGACCAGACUCCUACGGGAGGCAGCAGUAGGGAAUCUGCCGCAGUGGGCGAAAGCCUGACGGAGCAGCGGCGAGUGAGUGAUGAAGGUCUUCGGAGCGUAAAACUCUGUUAUUAGGGAAGAACAAAUGUGUAAGUAACUAUGCACGUCGUGACGGUACCGAAUCAGAAAGCCACGGCUAACUACGUG